Molecule: ribosomal RNA, 700 nt
Filed under: uncultured bacterium
Lineage: Bacteria
Description: bacterial SSU rRNA
Rfam family: Bacterial small subunit ribosomal RNA
Source: RNAcentral
AGAGUUUGAUCAUGGCUCAGAUUGAACGCUGGCGGAAUGCUUUACACAUGCAAGUCGAACGGCAGCACGGGAGCUUGCUCCUGGUGGCGAGUGGCGAACGGGUGAGUAACAUAUCGGAACGUACCUAGUAAUGGGGGAUAACUAGUCGAAAGAUUAGCUAAUACCGCAUACGCCCUGAGGGGGAAAGCGGGGGAUCGUAAGACCUCGCGUUAUUAGAGCGGCCGAUAUCUGAUUAGCUAGUUGGUGGGGUAAAGGCCCACCAAGGCGACGAUCAGUAGCUGGUCUGAGAGGACGACCAGCCACACUGGAACUGAGACACGGUCCAGACUCCUACGGGAGGCAGCAGUGGGGAAUUUUGGACAAUGGGCGCAAGCCUGAUCCAGCCAUUCCGCGUGAGUGAAGAAGGCCUUCGGGUUGUAAAGCUCUUUCGCAAGGGAAGAACACUUAGUCUCUAACAUAGACUGAGGUUGACGGUACCUUGAUAAGAAGCACCGGCUAACUACGUGCCAGCAGCCGCGGUAAUACGUAGGGUGCGAGCGUUAAUCGGAAUUACUGGGCGUAAAGCGUGCGCAGGCUGUUUUGUAAGUCAGAUGUGAAAUCCCCGAGCUCAACUUGGGAACUGCGUUUGAAACUACAAGACUAGAAUAUGUCAGAGGGGGGUAGAAUUCCACGUGUAGCAGUGAAAUGCGUAGAGAUGUGG